CCUACGGGUGGCAGCAGUGAGGAAUAUUGGUCAAUGGACGCAAGUCUGAACCAGCCAAGUAGCGUGCAGGAUGACGGCCCUCCGGGUUGUAAACUGCUUUUAGUUGGGAAUAAAAGGGGGCUCGUGAGCCCCGUAUUGUAUGUACCAUCAGAAAAAGGACCGGCUAAUUCCGGGCCAGCAGCCGCGGUAAUACGGAAGGUCCGGGCGUUAUCCGGAUUUAUUGGGUUAAAGGGGAGCGUAGGCCGGCUUUUAAGUAAGCUGUGAAAGUCCGGGGCUCAACCCCGACGAGCCGUUGAAACUGGCUGUCUUGAGAUGUCGAGAGGUAUGCGGAAUGCGCAGUGUAGCGGUGAAAUGCUUAGAUAUUGCGCAGAACUCCGAUUGCGAAGGCAGCAUACCGGCGGCGAUCUGACGCUGAGGCACGAAAGCGUGGGUAUCGAACAGGAUUAGAUACCCGGGUAGUC
RNAcentral lists this ribosomal RNA (461 nucleotides) under uncultured bacterium. RNAcentral describes it as "partial 16S ribosomal RNA". It matches the Rfam family "Bacterial small subunit ribosomal RNA", at positions 338 to 795 of the family's 1533-position model. The record is from RNAcentral.